CUCCAGUUGAUCGCAUGGUCUUCUGGGAAAGCUUUCGCGGUAUGGGAUGGGGUCGCGUCCUAUCAGCUUGACGGCGGGGUAACGGCCCACCGUGGCUUCGACGGGUAGCCGGCCUGAGAGGGCGACCGGCCACAUUGGGACUGAGAUACGGCCCAGACUCCUACGGGAGGCAGCAGUGGGGAAUAUUGCACAAUGGGCGCAAGCCUGAUGCAGCGACGCCGCGUGAGGGAUGGAGGCCUUCGGGUUGUAAACCUCUUUUAUCGGGGAGCAAGCGAGAGUGAGUUUACCCGUUGAAUAAGCACCGGCUAACUACGUGCCAGCAGCCGCGGUAAUACGUAGGGUGCAAGCGUUAUCCGGAAUUAUUGGGCGUAAAGGGCUCGUAGGCGGUUCCUCGCGUCCGGUGUGAAAGUCCAUCGCUUAACGGUGGAUCCGCGCCGGGUACGGGCGGG
This 449-nucleotide ribosomal RNA is filed under the name uncultured Bifidobacterium sp. RNAcentral's name for it is "bacterial SSU rRNA". It matches the Rfam family "Bacterial small subunit ribosomal RNA", at positions 173 to 640 of the family's 1533-position model. Lineage: Bacteria; Bacillati; Actinomycetota; Actinomycetes; Bifidobacteriales; Bifidobacteriaceae. The record is from RNAcentral.